UUCGAUGUUAUACUAAAAGUACUGUAACUUUAAAGGUGAACAACCCUUUAUUAAUGGCCACAGGAAGAGAAGUGCAGGGUUCAGAAAGAAAAGAGGCCUGUUUGCAAAUGUGACAGUGUGUAUGAACCCCAAUUACAUUAUACUUUGAUGCCAGUGUCAAAUACCAGGGAAAAUAUAGCAGAUAUGAAUGUCAGUAGCCUUUUUUACAUAAGGGAAGUUGACCCUUGAUUUUAUCACACUCUCCAUGUGGGAUUUCCAUUUGACCCAAUGCUUUGCCAACACCCAUAGGGGUCUAUUUGGAUGUCCAGCCUGCGCUGCCAUUGGGUACACCGUGCUGUACAACUACAUCUAUGAGCCUGCUAAACCUGAGCACAUGUCCGUGUAAGAAACAGCAGCAAUUACUUCCUCCACAGCACUUUGUGCCUAUUAAGGCGCCACUUCCCACAACCUCCCAUCACGUCACAGCUUUGUUCAAACUUGUUGCGCGAGCUCUGACUUCCCUUAAGCCGAAAAUGCGCAUGUGCGAGGAGGCCUGCGUUGCUGAGUAAAUCGUUUCCUGGGGGGCGAGCCAUAGUUGUGAGGCAAUUUCCGGCGGUUCGGGUAUAUAAUGAUCAGAUUGCCUCCUCAUUCAUUCUCUUUGUACGUCGACGUGGUUGGAGAUGGUUCUGUGUGUGACUUGUCUGACAGCAAACGGAUGCCUUCCAGAAAAUAUGUCUAUGCUUAUUAGUGACUGCGGUGUCAUGAGACUACUUGAAGGAUGCAUUGGAAUAUACUUCUGAAGCAGACCUACAGCACAAGGAAUAGCCAGCACAGGGAAAAAGCUGUAGAUAAGAUGUGAAGACUUGAUGAAUGGAAUGUCUUAAGCUUCUCUAGAUUGCAAUGCAAGAAUGGAAUGGAGGUAAUGGUAACUUUCAUUUCAAGGCCUAAAGCAAAAGCUGUUACAGCCACAGUUCUCUCGUGUAUCUGUUGUACUGAUCAAAACAAGCAGCAGCUUCUGUUUGCAUACAUUUGAUAAACCUUAUUGUGAUUACAUGUAUUUAGAACAGGCCAAAAUGCGGCCCAGGGGCCAAUUGUGGCCCUUUUUCAAAUUUACACCGGCCCUCGGCCUCCAUGAAAUUAAUAGUAAUGAGGCCCCCAGCACAGUGCGAUCAGGAAUCCCAUAGCGGUAAUAAGGCACAUUAGUGAAAUGAUCUGCCACUUGAUCUAUACAAAACAAUGGUAGUGCUUCCACCCCUGAUCAUAUACCCUUUGUGGUACCAGGUGCUACACUGGGCGACCCACUCCUGCCAUAUGGGUCAUACAGGUACAUAGAGAGAUUCCAGUGGCACACUGAAUGUUGAAAGUGUAAAAUUCACCCCAAACACAUAAAGAAAGGCAAUGUGACAGACCACUCGGGCCCUUUAUCAAGCCUGGUGCAACAAUCAUGUAAUCCACAUUAAAGUGUGAGGAAGGGGUGUGGAUAAAGUCUCCUCCCCUUACUCGGUGACAUCACAACCUAAGUGAUUGUGUUUAAGUGCGAUCAAAGACCAUGAAGUGUCAAAGUCCAAAAUCCAGUGUGACCAUAAAGAGUCCUUGGUGAUCCUCAAAUUAACAAUCAAAAUUGGUAUUGUACAAGAGGAUCUAUAGUGCUGCCUUGUGCUGAAGUUGUUGGCAAUAGACACAGAUUGGCACGUAAAGAUGCACUGUUUUCACAUACUUUAGGGCUGGAUGUGUCAGACGUACUGACAUGCCAGUACAGUAAACUAAAAGUAUGGCGUAGCUAUGUUCCAGUAUGUGUCUAUUGCUAACACAGUAUAGACAAAGUGGCAGAUCAUUUCACUAAUGUGCCCAAAUAUUACGGCUACGUGAUUCCUGUAAUUUAAUAGUUCACAGAAUGUUGGGCUGAAUGGUUGCCAAAUCUGGCCCUCGUUGCAAAAACCUUAUUUAGAGCACCAACAUAGAGUAUUCUUCAGUAUGGUAGCUUAAUAUUGGUAGGUGGAUAUCCCUCAGGUGUCCUUUGCCUCUUCAAAUUUCCUGAAUAGAAGCAGCUGUUUAUAGGGAAAUGGAUUGUGGGUUUGGCUUUUCCUGUAACUGCUAAUCUGAUCAGGGUUUGUAAUGAUGUUUCAAAUGUCUGACCUGAAGUAAAUGUGUGGAGAGUGUUAUCACUGAACUGACCCUGUUAACAGUUAAAAUUGCAGUUGACAUUUGGACUGUUGAGUCUAAUUCUGACUUUCUGUUCUAGGUCUGCACAACACUAUGUAUUGGUGAGUUGCAAAAGUGAAAUAUUUGUUUGCAUAAAAGCAGUAACUGUAGACCUUGGUAAAGUGGAUAUAUUUCAAUUCUGCAGUAAAUCUCUCAACCAUAUGCAAUUUACAGAAGAAACUCCUACAAUGGUUUGCACAGUAAAGGCUUUCUAACCUAGACUUCUACCUCCUAAAGCAUAGCCAAUAAAGACUGCUGGUAACCUGUGAUGAAAAUGAUUCUGCCAAAUGAUAAACAUGAUUUAUCCCUAACCGUUCCAUUUUUUUCUGAGAGCCAGCUUAAGUCUUGUCAACACUAGUUCCAUUUGUGGAUACUGAAUUAACUAAUGGGCAAGCCAGGCAUAACACUCUUGAAUUUAUGCCAAUUUAUGAAACUAUCUUUAAAUUUGUCAGUUUACCUGUUCUUGGAAGUAACCCUGACUUGUGCCUAAAACUAACUUAAACAUGCUGCAUUAAAAUGCAUAGAAUUCUCAAGCAAAAUCCUUCUAGCUGUAGCAGAGCAAGAGCUGCACUUGUGUUAUCUGACAUGCAGUGACCCUCAUUGAGUAGACAGUCCUAUGCGCAAAAUCCAGCCUCCUUGUUCCUUAUGUCCUAAUGCUGUUUAAUGUUGUAGGCUUGUAUGUCCUAAUGCUGCUGCUUUUUCCAUUAGUGUUUGGCUUCUGUUCAGCAAUUCAUCUGCAGCCACAGCAUAUUUGGUGAGUAACUACAAACCUACACCUUUUCUAAACCAGUGAUGCUUCAGAGUAGUGGACAGGUGUGAUUCCUGACAGCUUGUAAAACUGAGGCUUACAUGUAUUCUAACUUGUGCUGUUUCUGAGAAGCAUUAUUGGUAUAGAAACUUAACUACAUCUGAAGCAUUACUAUUUUUCUCUUCCAGAGUGCAUCAAUGAAUAACUCCUAAUGGAAUGUACUAUGAAGUCUUAAGUCUGGCUCCGCAAUUGCUUUCUUGUGGAAAUAAGGUGCAACACAACUGUGCCACUGGCAAGGCAUGACCACUGCUAAAUGACUUGGAUCUGCUACUGCCAAAUUAAGCCUAUGCUACAGCUGAGAAAAAAUGAGCAACUUGGAUUGUUCUAGAAACUAGUUACAUCACUAACUGAAAAAUGUUGUAAAUAAAGAGCUCCAAUUUGUUUAAUGGAAACAUGUACAAAUAAACUUUAAAGCUU
Long non-coding RNA from Xenopus laevis (African clawed frog), 3406 nucleotides. RefSeq annotates it as Xetrov90011961m S homeolog. NCBI's taxonomy places the organism in Eukaryota, Metazoa, Chordata, Amphibia, Anura, Pipidae. The transcript is spliced from 10 exons. The record is from RefSeq and is a predicted model, not a curated record.